UUAAGCGACUAAGCGUACACGGUGGAUGCCCUGGCAGUCAGAGGCGAUGAAGGACGUGCUAAUCUGCGAAAAGCGUCGGUAAGGUGAUAUGAACCGUUAUAACCGGCGAUGUCCGAAUGGGGAAACCCAGUGCAAUUCGUUGCACUAUCGUUAACUGAAUACAUAGGUUAACGAGGCGAACCGGGGGAACUGAAACAUCUAAGUACCCCGAGGAAAAGAAAUCAACCGAGAUUCCCCCAGUAGCGGCGAGCGAACGGGGAGCAGCCCAGAGUCUGAAUCAGCUUGUGUGUUAGUGGAACGGUCUGGAAAGUCCGACGGUACAGGGUGAUAGUCCCGUACACCAAAAUGCACAGGCUGUGAACUCGAAGAGUAGGGCGGGACACGUGGUAUCCUGUCUGAAUAUGGGGGGACCAUCCUCCAAGGCUAAAUACUCCUGACUGACCGAUAGUGAACCAGUACCGUGAGGGAAAGGCGAAAAGAACCCCGGCGAGGGGAGUGAAAAAGAACCUGAAACCGUGUACGUACAAGCAGUGGGAGCACCUUCGGGUGUGACUGCGUACCUUUUGUAUAAUGGGUCAGCGACUUAUAUUCUGUAGCAAGGUUAACCGUAUAGGGGAGCCGCAGGGAAACCGAGUCUUAACUGGGCGUUAAGUUGCAGGGUAUAGACCCGAAACCCGGUGAUCUAGCCAUGGGCAGGUUGAAGGUUGGGUAACACUAACUGGAGGACCGAACCGACUAAUGUUGAAAAAUUAGCGGAUGACUUGUGGCUGGGGGUGAAAGGCCAAUCAAACCGGGAGAUAGCUGGUUCUCCCCGAAAGCUAUUUAGGUAGCGCCUCGUGAAUUCAUCUUCGGGGGUAGAGCACUGUUUCGGCUAGGGGGUCAUCCCGACUUACCAACCCGAUGCAAACUACGAAUACCGAAGAAUGUUAUCACGGGAGACACACGGCGGGUGCUAACGUCCGUCGUGAAGAGGGAAACAACCCAGACCGCCAGCUAAGGUCCCAAAGUCAUGGUUAAGUGGGAAACGAUGUGGGAAGGCACAGACAGCCAGGAUGUUGGCUUAGAAGCAGCCAUCAUUUAAAGAAAGCGUAAUAGCUCACUGGUCGAGUCGGCCUGCGCGGAAGAUGUAACGGGGCUAAACCAUGCACCGAAGCUGCGGCAGCGACACUAUGUGUUGUUGGGUAGGGGAGCGUUCUGUAAGCCUGCGAAGGUGUGCUGUGAGGCAUGCUGGAGGUAUCAGAAGUGCGAAUGCUGACAUAAGUAACGAUAAAGCGGGUGAAAAGCCCGCUCGCCGGAAGACCAAGGGUUCCUGUCCAACGUUAAUCGGGGCAGGGUGAGUCGACCCCUAAGGCGAGGCCGAAAGGCGUAGUCGAUGGGAAACAGGUUAAUAUUCCUGUACUUGGUGUUACUGCGAAGGGGGGACGGAGAAGGCUAUGUUAGCCGGGCGACGGUUGUCCCGGUUUAAGCAUGUAGGCUGGUUAUCCAGGCAAAUCCGGAUAAUCAAGGCUGAGGUGUGAUGACGAGGCACUACGGUGCUGAAGUAACAAAUGCCCUGCUUCCAGGAAAAGCCUCUAAGCAUCAGGUAACAUCAAAUCGUACCCCAAACCGACACAGGUGGUCAGGUAGAGAAUACCAAGGCGCUUGAGAGAACUCGGGUGAAGGAACUAGGCAAAAUGGUGCCGUAACUUCGGGAGAAGGCACGCUGGUGUGUAGGUGAAGCCCCUGCGGGUGGAGCUGAGACCAGUCGAAGAUACCAGCUGGCUGCAACUGUUUAUUAAAAACACAGCACUGUGCAAACACGAAAGUGGACGUAUACGGUGUGACGCCUGCCCGGUGCCGGAAGGUUAAUUGAUGGGGUUAUCCGUAAGGAGAAGCUCUUGAUCGAAGCCCCGGUAAACGGCGGCCGUAACUAUAACGGUCCUAAGGUAGCGAAAUUCCUUGUCGGGUAAGUUCCGACCUGCACGAAUGGCGUAAUGAUGGCCAGGCUGUCUCCACCCGAGACUCAGUGAAAUUGAACUCGCUGUGAAGAUGCAGUGUACCCGCGGCAAGACGGAAAGACCCCGUGAACCUUUACUAUAGCUUGACACUGAACAUUGAGCCUUGAUGUGUAGGAUAGGUGGGAGGCUUUGAAGCGUGGACGCCAGUCUGCGUGGAGCCAACCUUGAAAUACCACCCUUUAAUGUUUGAUGUUCUAACGUUGGCCCCUGACCGGGGUUGCGGACAGUGUCUGGUGGGUAGUUUGACUGGGGCGGUCUCCUCCCAAAGCGUAACGGAGGAGCACGAAGGUUAGCUAAUCCUGGUCGGACAUCAGGAGGUUAGUGCAAUGGCAUAAGCUAGCUUGACUGCGAGCGUGACGGCGCGAGCAGGUGCGAAAGCAGGUCAUAGUGAUCCGGUGGUUCUGAAUGGAAGGGCCAUCGCUCAACGGAUAAAAGGUACUCCGGGGAUAACAGGCUGAUACCGCCCAAGAGUUCAUAUCGACGGCGGUGUUUGGCACCUCGAUGUCGGCUCAUCACAUCCUGGGGCUGAAGUAGGUCCCAAGGGUAUGGCUGUUCGCCAUUUAAAGUGGUACGCGAGCUGGGUUUAGAACGUCGUGAGACAGUUCGGUCCCUAUCUGCCGUGGGCGCUGGAGAAUUGAGGGGGGCUGCUCCUAGUACGAGAGGACCGGAGUGGACGCAUCACUGGUGUUCGGGUUGUCAUGCCAAUGGCACUGCCCGGUAGCUAAAUGCGGAAGAGAUAAGUGCUGAAAGCAUCUAAGCACGAAACUUGCCCCGAGAUGAGUUCUCCCUGAGACUUUAAGUCUCCUGAAGGAACGUUGAAGACGACGACGUUGAUAGGCCGGGUGUGUAAGCGCAGCGAUGCGUUGAGCUAACCGGUACUAAUGAACCGUGAGGCUUAACCUU
This 2900-nucleotide ribosomal RNA is filed under the name Klebsiella pneumoniae. RNAcentral's name for it is "bacterial LSU rRNA". It matches the Rfam family "Bacterial large subunit ribosomal RNA". Lineage: Bacteria; Pseudomonadati; Pseudomonadota; Gammaproteobacteria; Enterobacterales; Enterobacteriaceae. The record is from RNAcentral. RNAcentral also lists the same sequence under 2 other names.